Molecule: transfer RNA, 356 nt
Filed under: uncultured Microcystis sp.
Lineage: Bacteria; Bacillati; Cyanobacteriota; Cyanophyceae; Chroococcales; Microcystaceae
Description: partial 16S-23S ribosomal RNA intergenic spacer
Rfam family: tRNA (bases 133-206)
Source: RNAcentral
AAGGGAGACCUAAUUCAGGUAUGGGACGAAAAAAAAGUAGUCGCUACCAAGAAUCAAUCCCAAAAGGUCGGAGCGAGGUAUGAGGCUUUCAAACUAGGUUCUGGGUUCAAACAAGACCUGAAUCAGGAAUAAGGGCUAUUAGCUCAGGUGGUUAGAGCGCACCCCUGAUAAGGGUGAGGUCCCUGGUUCGAGUCCAGGAUGGCCCACCUGCACAGGUGGCAAAAACAAGAGAAGCGAGGAAUCAGCACCUUAUCUUAUCUAUAUAUAAGAGAGAAUGCUGGCUCUGAGUAAAGAGUCCAGAGGAACCUUGAAAACUGCAUAGAGCUAGGUGAAAAAGCCAAAAAAGAAGACCGCAA